Pelobates cultripes (western spadefoot toad) is the source of this 201-nucleotide non-coding RNA. Lineage: Eukaryota; Metazoa; Chordata; Amphibia; Anura; Pelobatidae. The record is from the annotation of a GenBank genome assembly.
GCAGUUACCUUUUAGAAAUCGUUUAUUUUUUUUCAAAAUGGUAGAUGUACAGAAUAUCGGCAAGUUAUCGGUUAUCGGCCUGAAAGUUAACAGAUUAUCGGUAUCGGCUCUAAAAAAAUCAAUAUCGGUCGAUCCCUAGUACAUAAUGGUCGUUAUGUUUUUGUAAGUCAUUUGUUCUUAGGUAGUUGGGGGUUGUAAUGG